UGUGGGGCCCCGCCCAGUUUCUUGGCACAUCCUGACAACACUGCCAGCAUUAUGUUCCAAGAGCUUCCAAGGAAUAUCUUUCAAAAAGGCAAAGAUACAUUUUUCACACUGGCACUUACAUCUAUUAGGUAACUAAUCAGCAAUGACGGCAGUAGGUACUGUCUCUAACUACCUACACACCAUGUCACCCCUGAAGAAAGGCAAAAGUCAGAGGCUUCCUCUGCUCUACGGCCACCCAUCCUGUUUUCUCAUGCCAGGGAACCACCAGCUUGAGCCCACCUAGGAAGAAGGGGCUCCAUCCCAUCCGCAAGGGGCACUGAGGAUCACAACUCUUCAGGAACUUGGCCACACUGAGCAUUUCCGCUCCUGGCAUGUGUAUCUUCAUUCCCUUUAGCUUUGUCACACUCUUGCAAACAGCGAC
RNAcentral lists this long non-coding RNA (421 nucleotides) under Heterocephalus glaber (naked mole-rat). RNAcentral describes it as "lncRNA (ENSHGLG00000038893.1)". Lineage: Eukaryota; Metazoa; Chordata; Mammalia; Rodentia; Bathyergidae. The record is from RNAcentral.